Molecule: ribosomal RNA, 150 nt
Filed under: uncultured bacterium
Lineage: Bacteria
Description: partial 16S ribosomal RNA
Rfam family: Bacterial small subunit ribosomal RNA
Source: RNAcentral
UCUGAUGCAGCCAUACCGCGUGUAUGAAGAAGGCCUUAGGGUUGUAAAGUACUUUCAGCGAGGAGGAAAGGUGGUAACUUAAUACGUUAUCACUGUGACGUUACUCGCAGAAGAAGCACCGGCUAACUCCGUGCCAGCAGCCGCGGUAAU